ACUUACAAGUGAAGAGGAAUACCACUAGAUCGUAAUACUACGUGGCAGAUAAUAUCGUUUGUUAAAAAAAAAUAUCAAAGACUUUGUAAAAGUCCAUUUAAAGGGAUGUGGGUAAAAAGUCCAUGAUAAACUCACUCAUAGCUUGCAAACUGGGCCCGUGAGAGGCCCAUUAACUGCCGGCCUCGAACUCGAAGGCAUAAUAGGCGCCACGCUUACAAUGUGGCGCCAGUACCGGAUCCUGGCUUUAUCCCUCUUAAACCCUUCCUCACCCAAGAGACUGUCUGCAAAUCGCUCUAACAUCGAAGCGUUUCUUCAGCAUCUUAUCCUCCUUCACCAAACCAUCCAUGGCGUUUCGAAUCAAAGAAAUUUUCACCGAGUUGUAAUUUUAUUUAUGUUUUAGUUCUUCUGGAAAUUGCUCGAGCAUUGGAAGCAGCAAUGGCGACCCUUUAUCCUUCUCACUUGUUAUCUGCGUCCUCCCACCUCCAAUCCUCCACUAAAAUGGCGUUCAGGCCUCACCCUUCUCCUUCUUCCCAUGCGCUCAAGAUGGGUGUGGCACAGUGUAAUGAAAUACAUGUCUUUGGUCAGAGUUUUAAGCCUUAUGGGCUGCGUACAAAUUCUCGGCACAAUAUCUUGCAUGCGAUAAAUAUGACUGCAGGACAGCCGGAUGACUCGGGGAAGAUGAAAUUUGAUCAGCUGAUUGAUAAAGCGAGACAAGUGUGGGAAAGUUCUCCACAGCCUGUCAAGAGCUUCCCUUGGAAAAGCAGCACAAAACUUUGUUCAACUCAUCAUUGACCUUAUACUAGCAGUUGUCAAGUACUUGUGUGUACCUCUAUUUGCAGUUUCCUUGCUUAGUGAAAUGUCUUACUGUGCUCAUGAAAGGAAGUUGUUUUUCAUUCCUAUUCCUGUCCUCUUUGGAAUGACUAUUGCCGAAGUCUUUAAACUGGCAGCACUGGAUGCUUCUCCACGUCUUAAGGAUGCAGAAGUUCCCUGGCAUCUGAUUCUUAUGGCAAUUUUCUUCACACUGCUCAAAUUGCCGGGUCCAUAUUACCCAUUUUGUGGGAGAAUAUUAGUCCCACACUUUGCUAAUGGGGGUUUGUUGAGGACAUUAUGGCUUGCGUUUUUGUGGUACAGAAGACCUCAAAAGGCAUUGAGAAUGGCACCAUCACAACAUGCUGAAAGUGACAGUCAGUCUGAAGUUGAGCCAAAUAAGCUCUAGCUCGUGCGUCCAAAACUGCACCAGAAAGAAAUUACUCAAAGGGUGAAGCAGCAUCGAUUUGGAGAUAUAAUGAGCGGUUCUUGGGAUGCCUUUGGUGGUCUAGGUAACUGCUACACAUUUUGCCUAGUUAGGAAACCUUUUUAACUCUCAUUUCUAUUUGUUUUGUUUGGUUGGGAGAGGAAGGCGUGCAGGUUUCGAGUAGCUAAGGAGAAAUUUAAUAUUAAGUAUGUCGGAAAAUUAUUGAUACACGAUAUACAGAUUCUUGAAGCUCUGUGUUGUGAUUGUUUGUCUUCAUACAAGUGUACCCUAGAGAAGGACAUAUUUAAACAGAAAUCAUCGACUUUACAAUAUACCAUUGAUUCCAAAAU
This is a non-coding RNA of Malus domestica (apple), 1584 nucleotides long. The record is from RefSeq and is a predicted model, not a curated record. NCBI's taxonomy places the organism in Eukaryota, Viridiplantae, Streptophyta, Magnoliopsida, Rosales, Rosaceae.